AAGGCAUGGUGAGGGCACUUUCUGAGCAUCUCCUUGAAUCUCUCCUAACUCAUAAAUAGACUAUCCUUCUAAUUGAGUAAAAGAAGUAAUAUCAUAUCUAAGCUU
Dendrobium catenatum is the source of this 105-nucleotide small nucleolar RNA. The record is from RefSeq and is a predicted model, not a curated record. NCBI's taxonomy places the organism in Eukaryota, Viridiplantae, Streptophyta, Magnoliopsida, Asparagales, Orchidaceae.